UCCCUGCAGAACUAGUGGUUAGGCCACUGCAUUCUCAUCACUGAGGCCCGGGUUCGAUUCCCGGCCAGGGGA
Pangasius djambal is the source of this 72-nucleotide non-coding RNA. The record is from the annotation of a GenBank genome assembly. Lineage: Eukaryota; Metazoa; Chordata; Actinopteri; Siluriformes; Pangasiidae.